UGUACAUAUAGCUCUAUUGAGAGA
This 24-nucleotide non-coding RNA is filed under the name Arabidopsis thaliana (thale cress). The record is from RNAcentral. Lineage: Eukaryota; Viridiplantae; Streptophyta; Magnoliopsida; Brassicales; Brassicaceae.